AGAGUUUGAUCAUGGCUCAGGACGAACGCUGGCGGCGUGCUUAACACAUGCAAGUCGAACGGAAAGGCCCUUCGGGGUACUCGAGUGGCGAACGGGUGAGUAACACGUGGGUGAUCUGCCCUGCACUUUGGGAUAAGCCUGGGAAACUGGGUCUAAUACCGAAUAGGACCACGCGCUUCAUGGUGUGUGGUGGAAAGCUUUUGCGGUGUGGGAUGGGCCCGCGGCCUAUCAGCUUGUUGGUGGGGUAAUGGCCUACCAAGGCGACGACGGGUAGCCGGCCUGAGAGGGUGACCGGCCACACUGGGACUGAGAUACGGCCCAGACUCCUACGGGAGGCAGCAGUGGGGAAUAUUGCACAAUGGGCGCAAGCCUGAUGCAGCGACGCCGCGUGAGGGAUGACGGCCUUCGGGUUGUAAACCUCUUUCAAUAGGGACGAAGCGCAAGUGACGGUACCUAUAGAAGAAGCACCGGCCAACUACGUGCCAGCAGCCGCGGUAAUACGUAGGGUGCGAGCGUUGUCCGGAAUUACUGGGCGUAAAGAGCUCGUAGGUGGUUUGUCGCGUUGUUCGUGAAAACUCACAGCUUAACUGUGGGCGUGCGGGCGAUACGGGCAGACUAGAGUACUGCAGGGGAGACUGGAAUUCCUGGUGUAGCGGUGGAAUGCGCAGAUAUCAGGAGGAACACCGGUGGCGAAGGCGGGUCUCUGGGCAGUAACUGACGCUGAGGAGCGAAAGCGUGGGGAGCGAACAGGAUUAGAUACCCUGGUAGUCCAA
Molecule: ribosomal RNA, 773 nt
Filed under: uncultured bacterium
Lineage: Bacteria
Description: bacterial SSU rRNA
Rfam family: Bacterial small subunit ribosomal RNA
Source: RNAcentral